GACGAACGCUGGCGGCGUGCCUAAUACAUGCAAGUAGAACGCUGAAGGAGGAGCUUGCUUCUCUGGAUGAGUUGCGAACGGGUGAGUAACGCGUAUGUAACCUGCCUGGUAGCGGGGGAUAACUCUUGGAAACGCUAGCUAAUACCGCAUAACAUUAGAUAUCGCAUGUUAUCUACUUGAAAGGUGCAAUUUCAUCACUACCAGAUGGACCUGCGUUGUAUUAGUUAGUUGGUGAGGUAACGGCCCACCAAGGCGACGAUACAUAGCCGGCCUGGGAGGGUGAACGGCCAAAAUGGGAAUGAGAAAACGCCCAGACUCCCAAGGGAAGCAGCAGUAGGGGAUCUUCCGCAAUGGACGGAAGUCUUGCCGAGCAAAGCCGCGUGAGUGAAGAAGGUUUUCGGAUCGUAAAGCUCUGUUGUAAGAGAAGAACGAGUGGGGGAGUGGAAAAUUCACGCUGUGACGGUAUCUUACCAGAAAGGGACGGCUAACUACGUG
This 495-nucleotide ribosomal RNA is filed under the name uncultured bacterium. Its description in RNAcentral is "partial 16S ribosomal RNA". It matches the Rfam family "Bacterial small subunit ribosomal RNA", at positions 28 to 507 of the family's 1533-position model. The record is from RNAcentral.